CUGCACCUUGAUUGUAAGUCGCUUUGGAUAAAAGCGUCUGCUAAAUGACUAAAU
Molecule: non-coding RNA, 54 nt
Organism: Larimichthys crocea (large yellow croaker)
Lineage: Eukaryota; Metazoa; Chordata; Actinopteri; Sciaenidae
Source: Rfam